Molecule: long non-coding RNA, 1074 nt
Filed under: Homo sapiens (human)
Lineage: Eukaryota; Metazoa; Chordata; Mammalia; Primates; Hominidae
Description: HSALNT0242640
Source: RNAcentral
AAAGAAGAACAAAUGAACAGUUGAUAAUUUCUGUCUCAUAUUCCACAGCCCAGACAAGUUAUUUGCAAGAGAUUUAUUAGAACUUGAGCCAUUACUGCAACAGGAAUUGUGCUGCAAGGAAAAAUACAAAUUAUCUGUCACUGCUUCUAACAGAGCUGGGAGGGGGAAAAUGCAUGAAUCUAGAAGCUUUAAUUACCUGCAGAAGUGUGAGUUGGUUAUGCAGUGCCUAUUUUAAUUACCAUCUGAUUAAAAUUAAUCUUAGCUAAGAAAGGAGAAAGUGAAAUAAGGAAACUGCAGUCUGAAGGUUAAUGUUCCAAAUGUCACCAAAUGCAGACGAGUAAAGAAGAGAAGAUUGGGAUGAAGGGCACGUACGCUAUUGGAAAAGAAAAGCUACUCAUGCUUAGACUGACAGAAAAAACAAUAUCUAGGGUUUAUUCUGCAUUCAAGUAGUCCAGUUUGGCCACAAUUUUAAUCUGGCCCAAGUAAAGAAACUAUACAAGUUUGUGCGUCAGAGACUGCAGAAGGAAAAUGGCAUCUGACUACCAGAGCUCCAUCUUCUGAGAUCCCCUUCUUGGCUUUAUUCCAGUGAAAAAUGCAAGAUCAUAGUUGGCUGCUCAACACUGGCAAGAAGAAGGUGAACAAGGUACUUCCCUGGAAAAAAAUGGAUCUUAGGAAGUAAGUGCAAAAAUGCUCUGCCUAAUGCUCUUACCGUAAGUAAGAAACUGUGCUUUGUCUCUGACAUUGGAGUCUCAUGUCAUCUCCAAGAAUCCAUGACACUGUGACAAGCUAACUUGCAAGUAGGGUAAAAAUCUCGGACCAUUCAAAUUCUUAGCACAAAGAUUACAUAAAGGCAUGAAUACCUGGAGUGCGGGAUCACUGGAGACAAUCUUAAGGGUUGCCUACCACAAUAGCCAUCUCUUUAUUUUCUUACAAUGGAAGAAGAGAAGGACAGAAGAAAGAGAAGAAAUGGGGGAAAAAUCAAUCAUUUACUGAGUUUAUUUCAUGCUCCAGGAAUUUAAACACAAAUUAAUUUCCUUGACGCUUAGCAGAGCAACAAGAAUACAAUAAGACUAC